UCUAAGGCUUGAUGGAGGUUCGGCCCCUUGGACCUCGACAUUUUUCACGAAGUCGUCCUUUUGACCUUCACCUCUAGCUUCGUUGGUGGAAGUCAUCAGAACAGAAUCUGUAGGAUAUAGAUUGACUGGAAUUGAUCCAAUCAUGAUUUGGACAAAUCGGGAAGUAUUUGUUCUCUUGGGAGUCGGCACAGCUAGGGUGGUUAAGGUGUUCUUG
This 214-nucleotide long non-coding RNA is filed under the name Prunus persica (peach). Its description in RNAcentral is "long non-coding RNA (PPER_LNC004961)". Lineage: Eukaryota; Viridiplantae; Streptophyta; Magnoliopsida; Rosales; Rosaceae. The record is from RNAcentral.